RNAcentral lists this long non-coding RNA (4053 nucleotides) under Sus scrofa (pig). Its description in RNAcentral is "lncRNA (ENSSSCG00000062613.1)". The record is from RNAcentral. Lineage: Eukaryota; Metazoa; Chordata; Mammalia; Artiodactyla; Suidae.
CAGGGCAUUUUUAUUGAGUCUUAACUAUGUGCCAAGGACUGUGCUCUAUUCUGAAGCGAUUAUGAUGAAUGCAGUUUUGUCUCUGCUUUCUUUCUACUGCUUUCCAGUCCUGAUGCUACCUGCCAGUGCAUUGUGACACUGUCAGGGACAUAGAAAAUAUUUCUGGAUCUUGUUAUAUUGGUUAUAUUCAUAAUAUUUCUUAGUUUUGAGAGGCUUUACAUCUAGAGUCUAACUAAAGUUAAAAACACAAUUCAAAUCACCAGAUAUCUAGAUGGGAAUAAAUCAAAAGUAGUUCAUCUAGAGUAGGGAAACAAUGAAUGUAAACCUAAAUGAGUUACCGAUGUAGAAUGAUCAUGGAGGUGCUUUUGUAAGAGUAAAAUUUGGAUUUUGAAAAUAAAGUAUUGACUGUUUAAGAAAAAAAAAUGAUCUUAAAAAAAAAAACUGAAUUCUACUAAAGAUGCUCAUCAAAUGUAAAAAGAUAAUUAUCAUAGAUUUAAUUAGGACAUUAUUGGCCUCUGUAGACUCAGACCAAAAAUAAUAUUUAUAUGAUAAAUGUUUGUUAGUAGUUUAAAUGUUUGCCCCUUCUCGACCCCACCAUUUCCUCUGGGUUUCCUUUAAAACCACAUACUUGUAAGUGUUUAAAUUAUUGAGAAUAAAGGAAAGAGAAGGUGUUAUUCUUUUGAUUGUCUCUUAUACCAAAUAUUUGUAUAUUAUUUUGUUAUUAUAUUUACAUUUUUUUUUUUUUUACAGUUCCUCAUCCUUUGUGUCUGUUUGUGUUUCCCUUCAUGGGUUCCUCCCACAGAGAUUUAAGUAACACCUCCGAGUCCCACAUCUCUUUGCUUAUCUCUGUCCAAUGUCAACCUAAAAAAUAUGCACAACCUAAAAGUUGAGAGUUAAGGUUUAUUUGGGGCAAAAUGAGAACUCUAGCUUGUGGGGCGCAUUUCAGAUAUCUCUAAAAUAUUGCUCCAAAGAGGCAAAAGGGAAUGUCAGUAUAAAUGUGAUUUUGGUGAAGUGGGAAGUACAUGCAAACAUGCACACAUUUUACAGAAGCCUAUUGCUACUCUUGUGAAGGUUACUAAUAAUCACGAGGAGCUGACAUCACCAUGAAGGAUUUUAGUGCUUUUCUAGAUAAGAGGAAAUGCAAAAAUUGGGCUUAUAAAAUCUCCUGAAAAUAUCUGACUAUGCGAAGACCUGUUCUGAGAGUUUUUCCAGAGCACAGAGUGCCUCACUCCUGAUUUCCACCCUGAGCUCCUUUCAGGGUCAGCAGCUGGCUGCUGUGGCUGCUUAUGAUUCAAUCCACAUAGAGGCGGAUGGCAAGUGCCAAUCUCUAGUUCACACCGUAUAUUCUAUCCUAGAAAAAUCAUCUAUUAAUUUAAACAAACAUGGGUAUGCUAAAUAGUCCCCAAUGGCUAUCUAAAGCUGUAGACAAUUUCUUGAACUUCAAACUUUGCUGAAACUUAAGAAUUAACCCGUGACAUAUCUACUCCCAUAUUUACUCUCAAUUCUUACAAAAAUAUUGGCUAAUGUUUAUAAAUAUUUAAUGUCAGGAAUAGUUUACAUAUGUGAUCAUAGUUAAUGUUACAGUAACCCUCUGAGCUAUUACAUUUUUCAUUUUCCAUAUGAAGACAUCAAAUCUCUGAGAGGGAGAAGUUCAAUAGCAAGGUCACAUAACUAUUAAGUGGAAUAGCUGAGGCUAGAAGCCAAUUGUGUCUGAUGCCAAAGCCUAUCCUUGUAGGUAUAAUUUAUAUCUCCCGUAUUUUUCACCACAGUCAGUAAUAACAUCUUCCAUCCAGUCACACAAAUCUGUAAUCUGGGCAUCUCCUUGACUUUUUCUUCUCUUCCAGUUUCCCACCAACUCAGUUGUUAAGACUAGAUGAGCUAAAUUCUAAAUAUCUCCCCCAAAUUUUCCUACUUACUGUUGUUUUCAUAUGGGCUCUAGUAAUUGUCUUGCAAAGUUAGAUUGUUUUAAUUUGUCUUUUUCAUCACUUAUCUUUGGUGAUAACUAAUACAAUCUAUACAGGAGGAAUUGGCCAUACACCUUUUACCUGAGAGCCACUCAGUUUAUCUUCUUUCAGCUAUAAAGUUUGAGAAGCUAAUCACAGUACCUUACAUGUUCUUUACACAUGUAUGCAUGUGUAUGCUCACAUCUACAUUCCUUUGCCUCUUCUUUCAUGUUUCAGGAUGACUCCCAUUUUUCCUUCACAAGCACACACUUAUAUUUGGAUACACAUCUUAAUCAUUUUAUUAUAAAGCCUUCCUUGUAUUCUCCCCACCUUCAAAAAAAGGGAAGAUGUCUUCUCUUCAAUGGAAAUCUAUGGUAUCUCUCUCCUUUCCCUUACAUACUAUUUGAUUUAUUUAUUUGUCAUUCUGUCUCUCAGAUUAUAAGCACUUGAAGGAGUCAAAAGGGACUGACUCACAUUGAAUCACAGAAUAUGGUAUGUAACAGGCAUUCAUUUAUGCCUGCACUGAACUAAAAUCUGCAUUAAUUGUAUAAAAUAAUUGAUAUAAGGAAAAUUCCUUUGCUAUGGUUAAUCAAUGAAAUGGGACUUAUGUUUGUAUCAUUUUUGCUUUCAGUAUAUUUAUUUUGGUUGUUAAUGUUUAAUGUUAAGUGUAUACAUUUCGUAGCAAUGAUUCAGUAAAACAUAGUACACACAAAUUUUAGAAAGGAAUGAAGAAUAUAUAAAGAUUUUCAAAACUCUAUAGAAUCCAUUUAAACUAAAUUGAUAUAAGAUAAAAUAAUUGAAUUUGGAUAUUAAAAUUAAAUAUGCUUCACAUGAAAUUAAAUUCUAAGGACAGUUUGGAAAAUCACUCACAACCUUUUUUUUGAAUUAUAGAAAUAAUUAGAUGAAAUAUUAAGAAGAGGUAUAUAUAAACAUAGACUAUAAGUACAUGAGAAGGGAGUUAUCUAUCAGAUUUUAACAUGAAGGAGAACAUUAAAAACAAAUUGCCUCUAUUAAUUCUUUGUAACUGGAUAUUUCUUCAGUUAUAGUAGAGAAUUAGAAAAUCAUCAUAUUUGAAAAUAUAUGAGUAUAACUCAAGUUAAAGUUCUGGUUAGGGUUUAUUCAUGUGCUAGGCUAUAACAAGUUAUGUAUAUAUAGUAUAUACCAUAUGUGGUAUAUAUCAUAUAUAUGUUCUCUAUAAAUUGCCAUUUUUGGAGUUUUUUUAACUCCAAAUAUUAAUUAUGCUGUUUUCACAAAUCUACUAGAUAGAAAUACAUUAAAAAUCACUUUCAGAAUUUGUCUUAUGUAAUAUUUGGAAUAGAUGAACAUUUGCUUUUUAGAUUCACAUGGCAGCAAUUUGUGUUUUAUCUUCCUUACCAUGCAGUAAUAAACAGAAUAAAUAUUCCAUGCUUAUUAAGCCUUUCAGUGAGAUUAAAUGAGAAAGAAAUUAAUUUCAUUUGCAAAAUGACUUUGAUUUUAACAUAUAGUCAAGCUUGAUAUCAAUGUAAUUACCAUAUUGUAUAUUCUAAUGAUUGACACAUAUGUUCUAUGCUAAUGUAAAUAUGAGAAACCACUCUGCUGUUAUAGAAUUAUUGUUUUUUUAGAUUCACUCAUAUCAGUCGUCUGUCAUAAUAUUUCUAUAUAAGCGACCAUCCGUAACAAGUAUUUAUGUUCUUGCUCAUGGGUCUGUUCACUGUGACUUGGCUGAUCAAGGCUGGCUUUGGCAGGGCAACUCUGUUUCAGGUUCCGGUUAGCUAGGUUUAGGUCCCUGGGAAUAUGAAUACAUUCAUCCUAGAGACCCCCAAGUGAUGCAAAAACAUGUGAGAUGUGAAUUAUAUGAGAUAGUUUUUAUAAGAAAUAGUUCUGGGUUCACCUAACCCUGAAAAUAUUAGCUAACACUGCAGAUAGUUAACUAACUUCCACCAAUAUCUUCCAGCUAAUAAAAAAUAGAAACUGAAUUUAAAUCUACUUUUUAUGUUUGAGUAAAACAUCUGUGCUUCCUCACUAUAGUGUGCCUCCUUUUUUUCCAAUAACUCAUCUAUUAUUAGAAUUCCUUUUACAGCAAAUGCAUUAUGAAAUUGACCAAACUUCCUUUGAUUCCUUCAAUAUUGAG